RNAcentral lists this ribosomal RNA (263 nucleotides) under uncultured bacterium. Its description in RNAcentral is "partial 16S ribosomal RNA". It matches the Rfam family "Bacterial small subunit ribosomal RNA", at positions 394 to 649 of the family's 1533-position model. The record is from RNAcentral.
ACGCCGCGUGAGUGAAGAAGGUUUUCGGAUCGUAAAACUCUGUUGUAAGGGAAGAACACGUACGAGAGUAACUGCUCGUACCUUGACGGUACCUUAUUAGAAAGCCACGGCUAACUACGUGCCAGCAGCCGCGGUAAUACGUAGGUGGCAAGCGUUGUCCGGAAUUAUUGGGCGUAAAGCGCGCGCAGGCGGUUCUUUAAGUCUGAUGUGAAAGCCCACGGCUCAACCGUGGAGGGUCAUUGGAAACUGGAGAACUUGAGUAC